GCUGUUUGCAACAGUGUAUGGGACCUUCCCAUGGUUUUCCACAAAAUGGGAGAAAAGUAUAAGAAGCUCUUCCUUCUAUGGAGCCCCAAUACAAUGCUUCGUACCUAGAAGGCUCUCAGAAACAGAAAUCUGGUGAAUUAGUUAAAUUAUAUGCUUCUCUGCCCUCUGCACUCCGUAAGAAAAAAAGAAA
This 190-nucleotide long non-coding RNA is filed under the name Gorilla gorilla gorilla (western lowland gorilla). Its description in RNAcentral is "lncRNA (ENSGGOG00000044308.1)". Lineage: Eukaryota; Metazoa; Chordata; Mammalia; Primates; Hominidae. The record is from RNAcentral.